Molecule: long non-coding RNA, 1473 nt
Filed under: Gopherus agassizii (Agassiz's desert tortoise)
Lineage: Eukaryota; Metazoa; Chordata; Testudines; Testudinidae
Description: lncRNA (ENSGAGG00000006093.1)
Source: RNAcentral
UAUCUUAUCCUGGCAGUGGAAAGAACAAAUGGCAGCUUUGUGUACCAUUCUGCAUGAAGAGCACUGAUUUCCAUCGAAAAGCAGGGUCAGUGUUUUUCUGCCAGCCGUCUCAAUCUGGGACAAGUUGGUUUCAUUUGGCUCACAUGCCAGAGACUUGCACAGAUACUGAACCACCUGUAGUGAUCUCCUGUCCUCAGAACAUUGAGAUAGAAACCAAAAAAGGAAACCCCUACUGGAAUGACCUGCCUGAAUUGUCUUGGAAGGAGCCUGUGUUUGAAGACAACUCCAGGGGUCCACUGACAAUCACAAAAAGAGGGUCCAGUGUGAAUAAUGGAGACAAACUGGCAUAUGGCCAAUAUUCAGUGGAAUAUAUAGCAACGGAUCUUUCAGGAAACCAAGCCAAAUGUUCCUUUGAGAUCUCUGUGAAAUGUAUAUAUUUGGCUUAUACUCAAGGUCAACCAAAUGGAAUAUAAUGAAGUAUUAAUGCUAAUUGUCCUGUUUCAUUUGUUAUUUGAUGAUUAAUACCAAGUGGGGGUUUGGAUAUAAACUCUCAUAUUUUGUCUACAUCUACAGGCUAUUUAUAUGCAAGGGUGAAAACAUGUAUGUCCACAUGUUUCUUCCCCCGGUCUCUUGCAGCUUUGCUCUCUGUCCUCAUAUAGCACAGUAUCCUUUCACUGAAGCCUAUAUGUCAGCUACGUGUAAAGAAUUGCUUCCUUCAAUGGCUCCAGGUACAGACCCUAACACAAGUUAUAGGAUUCAAACCAACCUGUUACAACGAAAUAUGAGCCUGUGAUGCAAAGUUUGGCUCUAGAUUGAAAGUUGGGGCAGAGACAAGGCUUGAGGGGAAAGAUCUGAUAUUCUGAUUCAGGCUCCUCUCUGUUAAAAGAAAUCAUCUCCUGUAAGAAGCAUGUUUUCAGAAGUGGUCACUCACUCACUUGUUGUGCCACAGUUGUGUGGGGUAUUUCACUUGAGACACCUUGUGCCUGAUUUUCAGAGCUACUAAGAACCCACUUUCCACAGAGCACCCCAGGAGUAAGUCAUACCAAUUCACUGAAUGCUUCUGAAAAUUGGAGCUGUGUUCCUCCUGAUGAUUACCUGUUCUGUUCAUUCCCUCCAGGGCACCUGUCAUUGGCCACUAUUGGAAGACAGGAUACUGGGCUAGAUGGAUCUUUGGUCUGACCCAGUAUGGCUGUUCUUAUGUUCUUAUGUCCACACACACUCCCAAAUACUAUCUCCAGCUAUAAUGCUAUAAUGAAUUGCUGAAGACUGUCUGAGUCUUACACCCAUGCAAGGAUUCAAUCCCAAACUUUUCCUAAGUUACACAAAUAGGCACAUAAGAAUCAGUUUCCCUUUACAUGCAGUAGGGGGCUAGUCACAUCAUCCUGAAGAUUUAUCCAACAGAGACAUUAUUAUCAUCUAUAUUAAUUUAUAGUAAUAUUUUAAGAAUUUCUGUUUAAGAUUUUGCAUAAUUUG